RNAcentral lists this ribosomal RNA (1244 nucleotides) under metagenome. Its description in RNAcentral is "bacterial LSU rRNA". It matches the Rfam family "Bacterial large subunit ribosomal RNA", at positions 1564 to 2816 of the family's 2925-position model. The record is from RNAcentral.
UGAAUACGAGAUGCUACGGCGUCGAAGCAGUGUAGGUCAGACUUCCAAGAAAAGCUCGCAAUGUCAUAAAUAAAGAAUGCCUGUACCAUAACCGACACAGGUGGGUAGGUAGAGUAUACUAAGGGGCGCGAGAUAACUCUCUCUAAGGAACUCGGCAAAAUAACUCCGUAACUUCGGGAGAAGGAGUGCCUUCUUUAAGAAGGUUGCAAUAACAAGAUCCAAGCAACUGUUUAUCAAAAACACAGGUCUCCGCUAAGUCGUAAGACGAUGUAUGGGGGCUGACGCCUGCCCAGUGCCAGAAGGUUAAAGAAGUUGGUUAGCUUUUGCGAAGCUGAUGACUGAAGCCCUGGUGAACGGCGGCCGUAACAAUAACGGUCCUAAGGUAGCGAAAUUCCUUGUCGGGUAAGUUCCGACCCGCACGAAAGGCGUAAUGAUUUGGAUACUGUCUCGGAGAGGGACUCGGUGAAAUAGACUUGUCUGUGAAGAUGCGGACUACCUGCACCAGGACAGAAAGACCCUAUGAAGCUUUACUGUAACUUGAAAUUGAAAUUGGACUUUAUUUGCGCAGUAUAGGUGGAAGGCGUUGAAAGUAAUCUUGCGGGAUUAGUGGAGCCAUCAGUGAGAUACCACUCCUAUAAUGUUAGAUUUCUAACUUUGGAUCAUGAUCUGGUCAAAGAACAGUUUCAGGCGGGCAGUUUGACUGGGGCGGUCGCCUCCCAAAUGGUAACGGAGGCGUACAAAGGUUUCCUCUGAACGGGUAGAAAUCGUAUCUAGAGUGUAAAGGCAUAAGGAAGCUUGACUGUGAGACCUACAAGUCGAGCAGGGACGAAAGUCGGUCUUAGUGAUCUGACGGUGCUGAGUGGAAAGGCCGUCACUCAACGGAUAAAAGUUACUCUAAGGAUAACAGGCUGAUCUCCCCCAAGAGUUCACAUCGACGGGGAGGUUUGGCACCUCGAUGUCGGCUCAUCGCAUCCUGGGGCGGUAGUACGUCCCAAGGGUUGGGCUGUUCGCCCAUGAAAGCGGUACGCGAGCUGGGUUCAGAACGUCGUGAGACAGUUCGGUCCAUAUCCGGUGUAGGCGUUAGAAUAUUGAGAGGAGCCUUCUUUAGUACGAGAGGACCGAGAAGGACAUACCUCUGGUGUACCAGUUAUCGUGCCAACGGUAAACGCUGGGUAGCUAUGUAUGGAGAGGAUAACCGCUGAAAGCAUCUAAGUGGGAAGCCCACCUCAAGAUGAGUAUUCUCA